AACGCACAUUGCGCCCCCUGGCAUUCCGGGGGGCAUGCCUGUCCGAGCGUCAUUUCUGCCCUCAAGCACGGCUUGUGUGUUGGGUGUGGUCCCCCCCGGGGACCUGCCCGAAAGGCAGCGGCGACGUCCGUCUGGUCCUCGAGCGUAUGGGGCUCUGUCACUCGCUCGGGAAGGACCUGCGGGGGUUGGUCACCACCACAUUUUACCACGGUUGACCUCGGAUCAGGUAGGAGUUACCCGCUGAACUUAA
This 250-nucleotide unclassified non-coding RNA is filed under the name uncultured Talaromyces. RNAcentral describes it as "sequence contains ITS2". The record is from RNAcentral. Lineage: Eukaryota; Fungi; Ascomycota; Eurotiomycetes; Eurotiales; Trichocomaceae.